This is a long non-coding RNA of Mirounga angustirostris (Northern elephant seal), 645 nucleotides long. RefSeq lists it as uncharacterized. The record is from RefSeq and is a predicted model, not a curated record. Lineage: Eukaryota; Metazoa; Chordata; Mammalia; Carnivora; Phocidae. The transcript has 3 exons.
UGUCAGGAGCACUGGGCUGAGUUCUGGAACUGCUUGCCUGAGCCUAGGUGCGUCAGGUUAUCCCACAGAGCUUCCGUUGACUCCUUAUGAAAUUGCUGGAAGGAGCAGGAUCUGUGGACUCCAGGGGUGAUGUGAGAAACCUCAGAAGCCUCCCUUGUCCGUGUUUCCCUCUUCUGUCCCGGUGCUCCAUUCCUUUCUAAGGCCUUGUCACCCGGACCAGAGCAGUGAAUCUGGAACCUCUUCCAAAUGGAGACCCGGAGGCUGCAACAAGGAGGGUCUUGGCCUUGGUCCCCAGACUAGUGGGCCCGUCAUCCUUCGGACAAUGAGAGCAGAGGGAUCCGUAUCUAGAGGAGGCCGGCAGGGCGUCCCACGGAACGUCGUGUGCCCAUCUCUGCUUUGUCGUCUAGGCUUAGCGGCGGACCCCCACCUAGAAAGAGGCCCGCGGGGCAGGGACAUUUGUCUGCCCUGUUCCCUGAAUUAUGGAAAAUGUCUAGAAGGGGCUUCCUGUCCAUUUGUGGAGUCGAUGAAGCCCAGCCAGCACCUUUCAGAUGUCUGAGUGGCUCUGGGGCCCCUCUGCCAGCCCCCUGGGAUCCCUGCUCUGGUUCCACCCAGGAUGGGAGCCCCAGAUGGAAUCUGAAACCUCCU